This 248-nucleotide ribosomal RNA is filed under the name Aspergillus niger. RNAcentral's name for it is "partial 28S ribosomal RNA". It matches the Rfam family "Eukaryotic large subunit ribosomal RNA", at positions 1 to 244 of the family's 3401-position model. RNAcentral also lists the same sequence under 1 other name. Lineage: Eukaryota; Fungi; Ascomycota; Eurotiomycetes; Eurotiales; Aspergillaceae. The record is from RNAcentral.
UUGACCUCGGAUCAGGUAGGGAUACCCGCUGAACUUAAGCAUAUCAAUAAGCGGAGGAAAAGAAACCAACCGGGAUUGCCUCAGUAACGGCGAGUGAAGCGGCAAGAGCUCAAAUUUGAAAGCUGGCUCCUUCGGAGUCCGCAUUGUAAUUUGCAGAGGAUGCUUUGGGUGCGGCCCCCGUCUAAGUGCCCUGGAACGGGCCGUCAGAGAGGGUGAGAAUCCCGUCUUGGGCGGGGUGUCCGUGCCCG